GCAGUCGAGCGAACUGAUUAGAAGCUUGCUUCUAUGACGUUAGCGGCGGACGGGUGAGUAACACGUGGGCAACCUGCCUGUAAGACUGGGAUAACUUCGGGAAACCGAAGCUAAUACCGGAUAGGAUCUUCUCCUUCAUGGGAGAUGAUUGAAAGAUGGUUUCGGCUAUCACUUACAGAUGGGCCCGCGGUGCAUUAGCUAGUUGGUGAGGUAACGGCUCACCAAGGCAACGAUGCAUAGCCGACCUGAGAGGGUGAUCGGCCACACUGGGACUGAGACACGGCCCAGACUCCUACGGGAGGCAGCAGUAGGGAAUCUUCCGCAAUGGACGAAAGUCUGACGGAGCAACGCCGCGUGAGUGAUGAAGGCUUUCGGGUCGUAAAACUCUGUUGUUAGGGAAGAACAAGUACGAGAGUAACUGCUCGUACCUUGACGGUACCUAACCAGAAAGCCACGGCUAACUACGUGCCAGCAGCCGCGGUAAUACGUAGGUGGCAAGCGUUAUCCGGAAUUAUUGGGCGUAAAGCGCGCGCAGGCGGUUUCUUAAGUCUGAUGUGAAAGCCCACGGCUCAACCGUGGAGGGUCAUUGGAAACUGGGGAACUUGAGUGCAGAAGAGAAAAGCGGAAUUCCACGUGUAGCGGUGAAAUGCGUAGAGAUGUGGAGGAACACCAGUGGCGAAGGCGGCUUUUUGGUCUGUAACUGACGCUGAGGC
This 713-nucleotide ribosomal RNA is filed under the name Priestia aryabhattai. RNAcentral's name for it is "bacterial SSU rRNA". It matches the Rfam family "Bacterial small subunit ribosomal RNA", at positions 57 to 752 of the family's 1533-position model. The record is from RNAcentral. Lineage: Bacteria; Bacillati; Bacillota; Bacilli; Caryophanales; Bacillaceae.